RNAcentral lists this ribosomal RNA (253 nucleotides) under uncultured bacterium. RNAcentral's name for it is "partial 16S ribosomal RNA". It matches the Rfam family "Bacterial small subunit ribosomal RNA", at positions 524 to 776 of the family's 1533-position model. The record is from RNAcentral.
UACGGAGGGAGCUAGCGUUAUUCGGAAUUACUGGGCGUAAAGGGAGCGUAGGCGGGUUAUCAAGUUGGAGGUGAAAGCCCAGGGCUCAACCUUGGAAUUGCCUUCAAAACUGAUAGCCUAGAGUAUGGAAGAGGUAAGUGGAACUCCGAGUGUAGAGGUGAAAUUCGUAGAUAUUCGGAAGAACACCAGUGGCGAAGGCGACUUACUGGUCCAUGACUGACGCUGAGGCUCGAAAGCGUGGGGAGCAAACAGG